AGGACGAACGCUGGCGGCGUGCCUAACACAUGCAAGUCGAACGAGAAUUUAGAGAAAGAUUUCUUCGGAAUGAAUUUUUAAAGGAAAGUGGCGGACGGGUGAGUAACACGUGGGUAACCUGCCUCAUAGAGGGGAAUAGCCUUUCGAAAGGAAGAUUAAUACCGCAUAAGAUUGUAGUACCGCAUGGUACAGCAAUUAAAGGAGUAAUCCGCUAUGAGAUGGACCCGCGUCGCAUUAGCUAGUUGGUGAGGUAACGGCUCACCAAGGCGACGAUGCGUAGCCGACCUGAGAGGGUGAUCGGCCACAUUGGGACUGAGACACGGCCCAGACUCCUACGGGAGGCAGCAGUGGGGAAUAUUGCACAAUGGGGGAAACCCUGAUGCAGCAACGCCGCGUGAGUGAUGACGGUCUUCGGAUUGUAAAGCUCUGUCUUUAGGGACGAUAAUGACGGUACCUAAGGAGGAAGCCACGGCUAACUACGUG
Molecule: ribosomal RNA, 483 nt
Filed under: uncultured bacterium
Lineage: Bacteria
Description: bacterial SSU rRNA
Rfam family: Bacterial small subunit ribosomal RNA
Source: RNAcentral